Molecule: ribosomal RNA, 384 nt
Filed under: Forficula auricularia (European earwig)
Lineage: Eukaryota; Metazoa; Arthropoda; Insecta; Dermaptera; Forficulidae
Description: partial 12S ribosomal RNA
Rfam family: Microsporidia small subunit ribosomal RNA
Source: RNAcentral
CGUUAUUCAAUGUGAAAAGAAUUUUUAGUAGUAAAAGUUAAGGACUUGAAACUAAAAGAAAAUGGCGGUAUUACAGCCUGUUUGGAGGAACUUGUUUCGUAAUCGACGAUCCCCGUGCAAUGUGCUGUAUUUGAAGGUAUGUAUACCGUUGUCGUCAGAAAAUCUUAAUUAAGGAAUUUUCGAUAAUCUGGGAUUUAUCGUAAGUCAAAUCAAGGUGCAGCUGAUAAUACAGAGAGAAUGAGUUACAAUAAAUUAAAUUUAUACGGAGCCUUGAUUGUAAAAAAAGAGUAGAAGGCGGAUUCAAAAGUAAAUUUUCAAAAUAAAGGAAAGUUGAGUGAAGCUCUGAAAUAUGCACACAUCGCCCAUCGCUCUCAUACAAAAAUU